Molecule: unclassified non-coding RNA, 342 nt
Filed under: Rhipicephalus microplus (southern cattle tick)
Lineage: Eukaryota; Metazoa; Arthropoda; Arachnida; Ixodida; Ixodidae
Description: salivary glue protein Sgs-3-like, transcript variant X1
Source: RNAcentral
GAGGAAGAAUUCACCAUUGAUACAGCCACGGGAGAUGAAUCGCCGUUAACGGUCACAGUGACAGCAGCGAUGACAACUGGAACCCAACAUUCGUUAUAGCUGGCGGUGCGCUCCUUUUCGGUGUAUUAAUAUCCAUCAUUUUGAUCUCGCUGCAGAUAUUUUUUGCGGAUGAUGAAUUGGAUGACGACGACGACGGUGGAACAGGCACUUACGCCCGAUCUGGCCGUGCCGGUGCCAGCGGUGGAGGUACCACAACCACUCAGCAUUUCGUGUCUUCUGGUUCUGCAAUCAUUUCAGCCGUUUCAACUGUUCCUGUAUGGCGUCAGUAGGACCACCACCAUC